RNAcentral lists this ribosomal RNA (826 nucleotides) under actinobacterium CT179. Its description in RNAcentral is "bacterial SSU rRNA". It matches the Rfam family "Bacterial small subunit ribosomal RNA", at positions 61 to 902 of the family's 1533-position model. Lineage: Bacteria; Bacillati; Actinomycetota; Actinomycetes. The record is from RNAcentral.
GUCGAACGAUGAAGCCCUUCGGGGUGGAUUAGUGGCGAACGGGUGAGUAACACGUGGGCAAUCUGCCCUUCACUCUGGGACAAGCCCUGGAAACGGGGUCUAAUACCGGAUACGACCUGCCGAGGCAUCUUGGCGGGUGGAAAGCUCCGGCGGUGAAGGAUGAGCCCGCGGCCUAUCAGCUUGUUGGUGGGGUAAUGGCCUACCAAGGCGACGACGGGUAGCCGGCCUGAGAGGGCGACCGGCCACACUGGGACUGAGACACGGCCCAGACUCCUACGGGAGGCAGCAGUGGGGAAUAUUGCACAAUGGGCGCAAGCCUGAUGCAGCGACGCCGCGUGAGGGAUGACGGCCUUCGGGUUGUAAACCUCUUUCAGCAGGGAAGAAGCGCAAGUGACGGUACCUGCAGAAGAAGCGCCGGCUAACUACGUGCCAGCAGCCGCGGUAAUACGUAGGGCGCAAGCGUUGUCCGGAAUUAUUGGGCGUAAAGAGCUCGUAGGCGGCUUGUCACGUCGGGUGUGAAAGCCCGGGGCUUAACCCCGGGUCUGCAUCCGAUACGGGCAGGCUAGAGUGUGGUAGGGGAGAUCGGAAUUCCUGGUGUAGCGGUGAAAUGCGCAGAUAUCAGGAGGAACACCGGUGGCGAAGGCGGAUCUCUGGGCCAUUACUGACGCUGAGGAGCGAAAGCGUGGGGAGCGAACAGGAUUAGAUACCCUGGUAGUCCACGCCGUAAACGUUGGGAACUAGGUGUUGGCGACAUUCCACGUCGUCGGUGCCGCAGCUAACGCAUUAAGUUCCCCGCCUGGGGAGUACGGCCGCAAGGCUAAAACUC